CAAAUAGGGCCCUCCCUCUAAUGAUGAAAACCAACCGAACCCUGACCCUGCAGCUCUGAGAGAGGAGCCUUAGCCCUGGAUUCCAAGGCAUUUCCACUUGGGGAUCAGCCCUGAACACAGAAGACUCACCAUGGAGUUGGGGCUGAGCUGGAUUUUCCUUGUUGCUAUGUUAGAAGGUGUCCAGUGUGAGGUGCAGCUGGUGGAGUCUGGGGGAGGCUUGGUCCAGCCUGGCGGGUCCCUGAAACUCUCCUGUGCAGCCUCUGGAUUCACCUUUGGUGAUUAUGCCAUGAGCUGGGUCCGCCAGGCUCCAGGGAAGGGACUGGAGUGGAUCUCAUCCAUUAGUAACACUGGUAAAACCAUAUACUACGCUGACUCCAUGAAGGGCCGAUUCACCAUCUGCAGAGACAACGCCAAGAACUCGCUGUCUCUGCAAAUGAACAGCCUGAGAGCCGAGGACACGGUCGUGUAUUACUGUACUAGAGACACAGUGAGGCGAGGUCAGUGUGAGCCCAGACACAAAUCCCCCUGCAGGGGUCCCCGUGACCACCAGGGGGCGCCCGGACACUGA
This is a non-coding RNA of Chlorocebus sabaeus (green monkey), 568 nucleotides long. The record is from the annotation of a RefSeq genome assembly. NCBI's taxonomy places the organism in Eukaryota, Metazoa, Chordata, Mammalia, Primates, Cercopithecidae.